CCUACGGGUGGCAGCAGUGAGGAAUAUUGGUCAAUGGACGAGAGUCUGAACCAGCCAAGUAGCGUGAAGGAUGACUGCCCUAUGGGUUGUAAACUUCUUUUAUAUGGGAAUAAAAUGUUCCACGUGUGGGAUUUUGUAUGUACCAUAUGAAUAAGGAUCUGCUAACUCCGUGCCAGCAGCCGCGGUAAUACGGGGGAUCCGAGCGUUAUCCGGAUUUUUGGGGUUUAAAGGGAGCGUAGGGGGAUUGUUAAGUCAGUUGUGAAAGUUUGCGGCUCAACCGUAAAAUUGCAGUUGGAACUGGCAGUCUUGAGGACAGUAGAGGUGGGCGGAAUUCGUGGUGGAGCGGGGAAAUGCUUAGAUAUCACGAAGUACUCCGAUUGCGAAGGCAGCUCACGGGACUGCAACUGACACUGAGGCUCGAAAGUGUGGGUAUCAAACAGGAUUAGAUACCCUGUAGUC
This 459-nucleotide ribosomal RNA is filed under the name uncultured bacterium. RNAcentral's name for it is "partial 16S ribosomal RNA". It matches the Rfam family "Bacterial small subunit ribosomal RNA", at positions 338 to 795 of the family's 1533-position model. The record is from RNAcentral.